Molecule: transfer RNA, 77 nt
Filed under: Gammaproteobacteria bacterium
Lineage: Bacteria; Pseudomonadati; Pseudomonadota; Gammaproteobacteria
Description: tRNA-Arg
Rfam family: tRNA
About the family: Transfer RNA (tRNA) molecules are approximately 80 nucleotides in length. Their secondary structure includes four short double-helical elements and three loops (D, anti-codon, and T loops). Further hydrogen bonds mediate the characteristic L-shaped molecular structure. tRNAs have two regions of fundamental functional importance: the anti-codon, which is responsible for specific mRNA codon recognition, and the 3' end, to which the tRNAs corresponding amino acid is attached (by aminoacyl-tRNA synthetases). tRNAs cope with the degeneracy of the genetic code in two manners: having more than one tRNA (with a specific anti-codon) for a particular amino acid; and 'wobble' base-pairing, i.e. permitting non-standard base-pairing at the 3rd anti-codon position.
Source: RNAcentral
GCGCUUGUAGCUCAGCUGGAUAGAGCGCUUGGCUACGAACCAAGAGGUCGGGAGUUCGAAUCUUCCCAAGCGCNCCA